ACGAACGCUGGCGGCGUGCUUCACACAUGCAAGUCGAACGGUAAGGCCCCUUCGGGGGUACCCGAGUGGCGAACGGGUGAGUAACACGUGAGCAACCUGCCCUUGACUCUGGAAUAACAGUUGGAAACAGCUGCUAAUACUGGAUAUUCAUCGUCUCCUUCCUGGGGGGUGGUGGAAAGCUCCGGCGGUCAGGGAUGGGCUCGCGGCCUAUCAGCUUGUUGGUGAGGUAAUGGCUCACCAAGGCUUCGACGGGUAGCCGGCCUGAGAGGGCGACCGGCCACACUGGGACUGAGAUACGGCCCAGACUCCUACGGGAGGCAGCAGUGGGGAAUAUUGCACAAUGGGCGCAAGCCGGAUGCAGCAACGCCGCGUGCGGGAUGACGGCCUUCGGGUUGUAAACCGCUUUCAGUAGGGACGAAGGGUGACUGACGGUACCUACAGAAGAAGGACCGGCUAACUACGU
RNAcentral lists this ribosomal RNA (463 nucleotides) under uncultured bacterium. RNAcentral describes it as "partial 16S ribosomal RNA". It matches the Rfam family "Bacterial small subunit ribosomal RNA", at positions 29 to 506 of the family's 1533-position model. The record is from RNAcentral.